GCAUCAUCCAUAAUAGUAAAUAUAUGGAUUCAAUCAAGGUGUCUAUUGAUAAGUGAGUGCAUAAAAAAUGUUCUGUCUGUGUGCAGGGACAUACCAGUCACUUGGAAAUAAUUGUCACUUGCAGCAACAUGGAUGAACCAAAGAUCUCAGUGCUAAGUGAAACAAACCAGUUGCAGAAGGACAAAUACAUUGUGAUUUCUCUCAUAUGAAGAAUCUAAGAAGCCUAAGCUCACAGAAGCAAAACAGUAAUUACCAAAGGUGAAUGCUUGAAAGUAGGUCUUCUAAACUGGGCAGCGUAACAUAGCACACAUCUGUUAUCUCAGCACCCAGGAGCCUAAUACAGAAGGAAUGGGUUGGGGUCCAGGACUGAAUAUGAAGGAGAAAGAGAGUUGAACGUGAGGAUCGUGAUUCUUCCUUUCCUUCCUAACUGUGGGCACAAUGUGACCAGCUAGCCUCCUGCUGCCAUGCCUUCUUCACCAUGAAAUAAUAUAUCCCUCUAACUGUAAGCCAAAGUAAGCCCUCCUUUCCUCAUGCUUCUUAUGUCUGGUGUUUGAUCUCAGCAGCAAGACAAGCACCUAACAUAGAAAUUCAAGAACAGGUUUUAUUUUGCCUCAAAGAAUGUCAAAGAAGAGAUAAAACUUCUAGUAUGUGAACAGGAUUCCUCUCCUGAGCACAGGUACUGCCCACUGGGUGGUGAGAAAGGAAGUUGUAGCAGCCUCUGUGUGGAGCCAUUUUGCACUGUCUAUCCUCACAGCAGGGGAAUGUGGGACAGUGGACUCUGAGAGGCAGCUGGAUACCUGGUUGAGCACGCUUUGAACCCCAGAGACCCUCAGGGAUGGUAGGAGUUUGGCAUUGAUUCUAGGCCCCCUGGUUCCUUUUACAUAGCCACAGCCCUCUACAGCCCCUUCCACAGAGAGGUUUAUGGCCAUCGAUCACAUAGCACAGGUAGAGGGCAUGACACAGGCCGAAGAGCCUCAAGACAUCUCGAUAUUCAUGAGAUACCUAAAGGCCAGAGGGCAUAGCCAAUUGAGCAUUCCUUCCCAGACCCUCCUCCUUGCAAAAGGCCCCCUGCUGAGAACACAGGGUAUAGCUUCAUCCACUUUCCUCCAUGACAAUAAAUACCAUAGCCUAAGACCAUGGAUUACCUCUUUUCUUUGGGGCCCACCGUGGGGAACUGUGGAUAAGGUCUUCAACUACGGAGCCACCAUCUAAUCUCUGGCCGCUGACCUCUCUACAUUUGAGCCACGAAGGCUGCCAACUCAAGUAAGCUAGCCAAGCCAGCUGAGACCCAGCCAAUCAAGCCCAAGGGCUUGAGAGCAAUCAGUCCCCGGCCACCUCCUGGCCUGGGGAUCCCCAACCCAAGAGCCUGGAGUCCACCCAGUGCAUCGUGGAGUGAAUGCAGUCUAAUUCCUGAGUCUCUGCCACCCUGAGCUGUGGCCCCAGCCCCUUGGGACAACAGACAUGGGACCCAUAAUUCAGCCCAACA
Molecule: long non-coding RNA, 1486 nt
Organism: Grammomys surdaster
Lineage: Eukaryota; Metazoa; Chordata; Mammalia; Rodentia; Muridae
Exons: 3
Source: RefSeq, a predicted model, not a curated record